GACGAACGCUGGCGGCGUGCUUAACACAUGCAAGUCGAGCGGUAAGGCCCUUUCGGGGGUACACGAGCGGCGAACGGGUGAGUAACACGUGGGUGACCUGCCCUCAGCUCUGGGAUAAGCCUGGGAAACCGGGUCUAAUACUGGAUAUGACUCCAUGACGCAUGUUGUGGGGUGGAAAGCCUUGUGCGGCUGAGGAUGGGCCCGCGGCCUAUCAGCUUGUUGGUGGGGUGANGGCCUACCAAGGCGACGACGGGUAGCUGGUCUGAGAGGAUGGUCAGCCACACUGGGACUGAGACACUGCCCAGACUCCUACGGGAGGCUGCAGUCGAGAAUCAUUCGCAAUGCACGAAAGUGCGACGAUGCGACGCCGCGUGCAGGAUGAA
Molecule: ribosomal RNA, 383 nt
Filed under: uncultured bacterium
Lineage: Bacteria
Description: bacterial SSU rRNA
Rfam family: Bacterial small subunit ribosomal RNA
Source: RNAcentral